AUCGCUUCUCGGCCUUUUGGCUAAGAUCAAGUGUAGUAUCAAGUCUCUUUCAUACCGUGUCUUGCUCUUAAUUGAAAUUUCAAAUGCAGUUUGUACAUUUUCUCUGAACUUUU
Molecule: small nuclear RNA, 113 nt
Filed under: Mustela putorius furo (domestic ferret)
Lineage: Eukaryota; Metazoa; Chordata; Mammalia; Carnivora; Mustelidae
Description: U2 spliceosomal RNA
Rfam family: U2 spliceosomal RNA
About the family: U2 is a small nuclear RNA (snRNA) component of the spliceosome (involved in pre-mRNA splicing). Complementary binding between U2 snRNA (in an area lying towards the 5' end but 3' to hairpin I) and the branchpoint sequence (BPS) of the intron results the bulging out of an unpaired adenosine, on the BPS, which initiates a nucleophilic attack at the intronic 5' splice site, thus starting the first of two transesterification reactions that mediate splicing.
Source: Rfam by way of RNAcentral